This 253-nucleotide ribosomal RNA is filed under the name uncultured bacterium. RNAcentral describes it as "partial 16S ribosomal RNA". It matches the Rfam family "Bacterial small subunit ribosomal RNA", at positions 524 to 776 of the family's 1533-position model. The record is from RNAcentral.
UACGUAGGGGGCGAGCGUUGUCCGGAUUUAUUGGGCGUAAAGAGCGUGUAGGCGGCCAGGUAGGUCAGCUGUGAAAACUCGAGGCUCAACCUCGAGAUGUCGGCUGAAACCAUCUGGCUAGAGUCCGGAAGAGGAGAAUGGAAUUCCCGGUGUAGCGGUGAAAUGCGCAGAUAUCGGGAAGAACACCCGUGGCGAAGGCGGAGACCUGGGCCGAUACUGACGCUGAGGUGCGAAAGCGUGGGGAGCAAACAGG